UGGGGAAUCUUCCGCAAUGGACGAAAGUCUGACGGAGCAACGCCGCGUGAGUGAAGAAGGUUUUCGGAUCGUAAAACUCUGUCUUUUGGGGCGAACGUGAGUAUGGUGAACAAUCAUAGUCAGUGACGGUACCAAAGGAGGAAGCCACGGCUAACUACGUGCCAGCAGCCGCGGUAAUACGUAGGUGGCAAGCGUUGUCCGGAAUUAUUGGGCGUAAAGAGCGCGUAGGCGGGAUAGUCAGUCUGUUGUAAAGUGCGGGGCUCAACCCCGUGAUGGCAAUGGAAACAGCUAUUCUUGAGUGCAGGAGAGGAAAGUGGAAUUCCCAGUGUAGCGGUGAAAUGCGUAGAUAUUGGGAGGAACACCAGUGGCGAAGGCGACUUUCUGGACUGUGUCUGACGCUGAGGCGCGAAAGCCAGGGGAGCGAACGGGAUUAGAUACCCCCGGUAGUCCUGGCCGUAAACGAUGGGUACUAGGUGUGGGAGGUAUCGACCCCUUUCCGUGCCGGAGUUAACGCAAUAAGUACCCCGCCUGGGGAGUACGGUCGCAAGACUGAAACUCAAAUGAAUUGAC
This 570-nucleotide ribosomal RNA is filed under the name uncultured bacterium. Its description in RNAcentral is "partial 16S ribosomal RNA". It matches the Rfam family "Bacterial small subunit ribosomal RNA", at positions 355 to 914 of the family's 1533-position model. The record is from RNAcentral.